UACGAAGGGGGCUAGCGUUGUUCGGAAUUACUGGGCGUAAAGCGCACGUAGGCGGAUAUUUAAGUCAGGGGUGAAAUCCCAGAGCUCAACUCUGGAACUGCCUUUGAUACUGGGUAUCUUGAGUAUGGAAGAGGUAAGUGGAAUUGCGAGUGUAGAGGUGAAAUUCGUAGAUAUUCGCAGGAACACCAGUGGCGAAGGCGGAGCUU
Molecule: ribosomal RNA, 206 nt
Filed under: uncultured bacterium
Lineage: Bacteria
Description: partial 16S ribosomal RNA
Rfam family: Bacterial small subunit ribosomal RNA
Source: RNAcentral